CUUCCUCUUAUAGACAAGAAGAACACAAAGACUCUGCGCUUGAUGGAACCAGAACCACAUGGACCCAAGACCAGAGUCAUCAGAGGCAGUGCAGCUCAGGAUUCUUUAAGGAGCCUUCAAUGCUUCAUCUAAUUAAAUCAACUUCUGAUUGGAGAGAGUCCUCAACACCCAGAAGACUUCAUCUCUACUGUGGUCGGAUCAAGAAUUGGCACCAGGGUGGAGGGAGGUGUCAGGAAGGCAAGGCCCUCAUCCUCUAAAUGGCCUGGCACACUUACACCGCCAGAACCUUCACCUUGAUUGGUGGGAGCCUUUCAUAAGGUUUAGUGGCCGUUCCAAACGUUUUUGACAACAAAAUAAAAACCAAC
This is a long non-coding RNA of Notothenia coriiceps (black rockcod), 365 nucleotides long. RefSeq lists it as uncharacterized. The transcript has 3 exons. NCBI's taxonomy places the organism in Eukaryota, Metazoa, Chordata, Actinopteri, Perciformes, Nototheniidae. The record is from RefSeq and is a predicted model, not a curated record.